CAGUCGCCGCGGGAAUACGGAGGGGGCUAGCGUUGUUCGGAAUUACUGGGCGUAAAGCGCACGUAGGCGGCUUGGUAAGUUAGAGGUGAAAGCCUGGAGCUCAACUCCAGAAUUGCCUUUAAGACUGCCGAGCUAGCAGGUGAGAGAGGUAAGUGGAAUUCCGAGUGUAGAGGUGAAAUUCGUAGAUAUUCGGAAGAACACCAGUGGCGAAGGCGGCUUACUGGCUCAUACUGGACGCUGAGGUGCGAAAGCGUGGGGAGCAAACAGGAUUAGAUACCCCAGUAGUCCCUGUCUCUUAUAC
This 301-nucleotide ribosomal RNA is filed under the name uncultured bacterium. RNAcentral describes it as "partial 16S ribosomal RNA". It matches the Rfam family "Bacterial small subunit ribosomal RNA", at positions 509 to 807 of the family's 1533-position model. The record is from RNAcentral.